Pelobates cultripes (western spadefoot toad) is the source of this 120-nucleotide non-coding RNA. NCBI's taxonomy places the organism in Eukaryota, Metazoa, Chordata, Amphibia, Anura, Pelobatidae. The record is from the annotation of a GenBank genome assembly.
GCCUACGGCCAUACCUGUCUGAAAGUGCCUGAUCUCGUCAGAUCUCAGAAGUCAUGUAGACUUGGACCUGUUUAGUACUUGUAUGGGAGACCAAAUUAGGAACCUCAGGUGCCGUAAGCU